UUUAUAGAUGGUGGCACUGAGGUUGGGGAGGUCAGGAGGCUCGGCCUUGGCCCCUCAGGGACAGAGCUGGUGUUCAGAGCCACAUCUGUCUGCCUCUGAAGACCAGGGUUCCUUGAGUCCCCCAGGUGAGUGUGUGAGACUCACAGUGGGCGCCUUGGGCACCCAGGAGGCACAGACGGGGAGGGAAGGGGUGAGAAGGAGAGUGGAGCUGAGGACAUGGGAGAGGUGCCAGCUUCCCUCUGCCUGGUGGAGCCGCCCACGCGGCUCUCUCUCCCUUCCCUUUCUCUGUUCCCAGCAUUCCCGGGCUUAGUGGUGUCCGGCUCAGGUCCUGAUUCACUCCUCUAAUGGCACAUGUCAAGCAUUUCUCCCUAGGUGCCCCUUGGGAAUGGAAGCCCCUAACUGAGGACAGUGAAAAUGCCAUCCUGUUCCUCCUGCCCCAGACAGUGGGUGGCAACUCAGCCAGGAGCUCAGGGAGGGGAUGCCCAGCAGGCCGUGGCUUCUCUCCCCCGUGUCCCAUGGCACUCAGGAGUGGCCUUUUCCAUAUCUCCAGGCCUCAGUUUCCCACCCAUUCAGUGAGGAUGCUGGACUUUUUUUUUUUUUUUUGAGACGGAGUCUCGCUCUGUCGCCCAGGCUGGAGUGCAGUGGCGUGAUCUCGGCUCACUGCAAGCCCCGCCUCCCGGGUUCACGCCAUUCUCCUGCCUCAGCCUCCCGAGUAGCUGGGACUACAGGCGCCCACCACCACGCCUGGCUAAUUUUUUGUAUUUUUAGUAGAGACGGGGUUUCACUGUUAGCCAGGAUGGUCUCAAUCUCCUGACCUCGUGAUCCGCCCGCCUCAGCCUCCCAAAGUGCUGGUAUUACAGGCGUGAGCUACUGCGCCCAGCCAUGGACCUUUUUUUUUUUUUAAAGCUACAAUAUCUUUCUCCCCCAAGGGAAAUGAUGUGCCCAGCAUAGUCAAGACAGACAAGAGGGAGCUCCCAUGGCUGAGUUGGGGCCUCAAGCCCUCCCUCUACUCCUCCUCAGAGACCAGGGGUGACAGAGACAGAUCUUGAAAACCUUGGGACAAGUGCCCUUGGGCUGCAGGGUUGGGAACGGGGGGAGCAUGGCCAGCCUAUCACCUGGUGUGCCCUCAGGUGAAGGAAUACGACUCCAUCUCCCGGCUGGACCAGUGGCUCACCACCAUGCUGCUGCGCAUCAAGAAGACCAUCCAGGGCGAUGAGGAGGACCUGCGCUAAGCCCCACCCAGCCCCCCAGUGCCCGUCUUCCUGUCCCAUCUGCUCAGAGAGAGGUGGGGCCGAGACUUGCUGGAGAGCUUCCCUCCUUUCCCAUCUGGGGAGUGCCGCGGGCCACAGUGGGCAGGUGGCACCGGGGGUCAGCAUGCAGGGGCGCCAGAGGCCCAGGCUGCUGGCCGGACAGUCACCCUCUGUUCUCGCUACAUCCCUUGCCCCCUGUCCAUUUAUUUAAGCCCCCAUAGGUGCCCUUCACCCCCAAAACCAGCUGUACAGAAUCUUUGAUACAGACCUAUUUGCUAGGGGUGCUGCCGGGGAUUUGGGGUCAGCAUCUGGCCCCCUAUCUCCUGACCAGCUGAGUCAUGAGGCCGGUUUCUCUCUCUCUCCCACUUUUGUCCCCCAGCCAAGCUCUAAAGCACAUGUAGCCGCUGAGACCUGCUGUUUCUGCUGGGGGCAGGCUCCUCUUCCCCCAGCCCCGGGAGCCUCCCCCAGCUUCCUGCAGCCCCGACCUCUCAGGUUAGACCCUGGGCCCUGGAGCUUAGGGGAUUCUCCCCACCCCAGCCCCACACCUGCUCCUUCCCUAAUGCUUUGAGGUUUUCUUGGUUGGAAGCUGCAGCUGGCCCAAGAAAGAAAAUAAAAAACAACACUUUUGCAUG
This 1882-nucleotide long non-coding RNA is filed under the name Homo sapiens (human). RNAcentral's name for it is "HSALNT0398350". Lineage: Eukaryota; Metazoa; Chordata; Mammalia; Primates; Hominidae. The record is from RNAcentral.